CCCGGCUCUCUAAACGUCACCGUUCGAUUCUUGUAAUCAAUGGUGGCAAAGUACUUGGUCAACCAAUCCAUGCCCAACACAACAUCAAACUCCCCGAGUUUAUGCAAGGCUAGCAAGUCCACGGGCAUGAUCCAAUCUCCAACCCGAACAGGGCAACUGGAGCAAAACUCCCGAAUGUCCAAAGAAUGAUCGAGUACAAC
This 200-nucleotide long non-coding RNA is filed under the name Ananas comosus (pineapple). RNAcentral's name for it is "long non-coding RNA (ACOM_LNC042308)". Lineage: Eukaryota; Viridiplantae; Streptophyta; Magnoliopsida; Poales; Bromeliaceae. The record is from RNAcentral.